GGGGAAUAUUGGACAAUGGGCGCAAGCCUGAUCCAGCCAUACCGCGUGGGUGAAGAAGGCCUUCGGGUUGUAAAGCCCUUUUGUUGGGAAAGAAAUCCAGCCGGCUAAUACCUGGUUGGGAUGACGGUACCCAAAGAAUAAGCACCGGCUAACUUCGUGCCAGCAGCCGCGGUAAUACGAAGGGUGCAAGCGUUACUCGGAAUUACUGGGCGUAAAGCGUGCGUAGGUGGUCGUUUAAGUCCGUUGUGAAAGCCCUGGGCUCAACCUGGGAACUGCAGUGGAUACUGGGCGACUAGAGUGUGGUAGAGGGUAGCGGAAUUCCUGGUGUAGCAGUGAAAUGCGUAGAGAUCAGGAGGAACAUCCAUGGCGAAGGCAGCUACCUGGACCAACACUGACAC
Molecule: ribosomal RNA, 398 nt
Filed under: Staphylococcus coagulans
Lineage: Bacteria; Bacillati; Bacillota; Bacilli; Caryophanales; Staphylococcaceae
Description: bacterial SSU rRNA
Rfam family: Bacterial small subunit ribosomal RNA
Source: RNAcentral